UCCUCCCUAGAUAGGGGGAAAGAGGCUGACGGUGUGUAUGUCUACGACUGUCAGUGUCUGAGCUCUUCGAGAGGCGGCGGAUCUGCUUGGAGGAAUAGAGUACUGUAAGUAUAAUGAGACAUACUCUGAAAGUAUAAAUUCGAUUUUUGCUGGGCGUCAGUUGAACAUUAUUUCACGUGUGCGUUUCGCGCACAUAGAAACCACAUUAAUUUAGCAAACAGACUGACCAAAGGAACACAUGUUCAGACCGCUAACGUUAACUUAGCAAGCAGACUGACCGAAGGAACACAUGUUCAGACCGCUAACGUUAACUUAGCAAGCAGACUGACCAAAUGAACACAUGUUCACCAAAGGGAAGAGUGCAGACUGGCCAAAGCUAGCUCUAAUCAUUUGCUUUUCACUCCACUGUUGUAACAUAAGUUAGCAAGCAAGCAUGGUUAAUUGUCUAGCUGUCCACAGAGAAAAUAUUUGAAUAUUUCCCUAGGUAGAUUGCCAGAUAUCUCUGAAAUGGUGCGGUCAAGUUUAGAGGUAAACAUGGGUAACUUAGCAAUAUACUCCUCUGCAGUUUGAAUGAAAUUGUAUAGCUACAUAUUUUAUUCCGUUGAUAUGUAGGCCUAAUGGUGCAUGCUGAUAAUUUGUAUUGUACAAUUUCAUUGUCAACAGUAAGUUCAUCUGGGACCUCAUUUGGCACUUCAAGGGGUUGAGUAGGCCUACACCAUGUUGAUGGUGAGCUAGCUAAUAUACAAAGAAUAAUGCAUUAUAAUUAAUAUUAUAAUAUCAUUUAUAACCAAGUGUAAAGUAAGAGUGUGCCUCCGAUGACUGACAUAUCACUUUUCUGUUAUAGCCUAACUUACUUGUGCAUAAGCCUAGUAUACUUAAAAUAUUAGACCACAUGACACAAGCUAAGCUGAUCUAUUGGUUUAGAAUGUAUUUUUUCUAUAGCUGAAGUUCCAAGGCUAUUUGGUGCCUAUAAUAACCAAACCAGGUCAAGGCGUCAACCAAGUAUCAUCCAAACAAACCCACUUACACCCUCACAUUUUGCUGUCUUGGGCGGAAAUGCACAACUACUGUCCCAAGCAGGAUUGGUAAAGAGCACCUCCAGCGAGUGGGGUUGGGUGAGGGGCGCCUGAACUUUCGAGGUAUGCCAUCUGACAAAAGAAUCGUGGUCACAUCACUUGAUAGACAAAAGGGAGCCCUUAACCAGACGUUUAAAGUCAAUCAACAGAGUGAACCAAAUUGUUUUGUGCAAUAUUUUGACAAUUUGAUUUAUGGUGUGCAUAGGCAUGCACAAAUCUAAGUUUUAGAACAUAUAACUGUAAUGUAUAGAGAGUUUCUUGUUGAAUUAUGAAGAGAUUCUUGCAUAUUUGAAUCACAUUUGCAUAGUGUAUAAUACUGACCUUAGAUCGACACCUGUACCUGUAAAUCCUACUCAUGUGAUUAAAGCUAGUCUGGGCAUGUAGUUAUCAAGCUUCUCAGAGUAUGGGUGCAGAUCUAGGGUCAGUUUUUCUAUCUAGCAAAGAAUAAGGAUAGAAUAUAGACAGGGGAAAUUUGAUCAUAGAUCUUCACCAUAGUGCAAGAAGUUGGACAGCUGGCCCAAAUAUCACACCAUUUUGAAGGUCCUGUCAGUUAGAGAUGUACACUCACCGGCCACUUUAUUAGGUACAUCUGCGUGUUAACGCAAAUAGCCUGCUCCUUCGAACAGCGAUUAUAAUGUGGCUGCCUGCAACUCAAUCUAUAGAGUAGAGAGCUUUAGUUGUUGUUUGACCAAACAGAACGGGCAAGAUGUGUAAUCCAAGAAACCUUGACCGUGGUAUGAUUGUUGGUGCCACACACGGUGGUUCCAGCAUCUCAGAAACAGCUGCCCUCCUGGGAUUGUUACGCACUACAGUCUCUAGAGUUUACAGAGAAUGGUGCGAUAAGUGAGUGGCUGUUCUGUGGGCAAAAACGCCUUGUUAAUGAGAGAGGUCAGAGGAGAAUGUCCAUACUCAUUUUAUUGUUCAGAAAUGUGGUGGGUACUUUCUUCGUUCGCUGGACUUUAUCCUGCUAACUGUUCCAAAUGUCCGAACUGAAUUUGGUAAAAGGGCUUUUAUGUACUCUGCGCCAUCGUCUUGGAACGCCUUACAAAAUACUUUUAAACUGGAAGAACUUGUCCCGAUUGGUAUUUUUUAAAUCACUGAUGAAUGAUCUUGAGACUGAUUCCCUGACCUGUCAAUGUUUUUAAUUUGCUGUUUUUGAUUUUGUUAUACUCUUGUGAAUUCAAUGGUUUUUACUAGAUUACUUGUAGUUUUUCGUGUCUGUCUGUAAUUUUUGUAAUGACUUGGUGCUGCCUAUCUUGGCCAGGACGCUCUUGAAAAAGAGAUUUUAAAUCUCAAUGAGCCCUUCCUGGUUAAAUAAAGGUAAAAAAAUAUAUAUAUUUUUUAAAUUAAGCUAACAGAAAGGCCACAAAUGCUCAAAUAACAGCUGUUUAAAACAGUGGUGUGCGGAAGGGCAUCUCUUAAUGUACAACACCGUGAAUAAUUCAGGCUGUUGUGGAGGCAGAAGGGGGUUCUACCCAGUACUAGAUAGGUGUACCUAAUAAAAUGUGUAAUAAAAAGUGUAUAUAAUGAUAAAAAUCAGGUUUGCAAGUUAUGUAUAUAUUUUUUUUGUCAUUAUCUCACAGGUAAUCAAGAAAGUUCACAAGUUAAUUUUAACUUUGUUUCCAAAGUUGAGAGACAGGUUCGAGCUGUUGAAAAUGUCUGGAUCUACACAGAGCCAUCAUCUUAUACCUGUCCCAUGCCCCAAUCAGGGCUACAGUGUGAGAUAUCUGAAAGACCCUUGUCUCGUGCUACUCUGUACAUUCGCCCGCUGUAAAGGAAUUUGCGUAUGGAGCAUGAACUAAAUGAUUGAGUUGUUGCUCAAUGUGGACCCCUGACACAAUGUGGACCCCUGACACAAUGCCUAAACUGUGAAGAACAACUUUACUUUACACAAAUAAGAAGGCACAGUGAAGCCUGCUCAAGGUAAUGCUCUGAAUGGGAAAUUAAUCAUGGUGAUGUUGGGAAAAUAUGAUAUUCUCCAUUUAUGGAAGGUGCACUCAUUACAAAUGAUGGUAUGGCCAUGUUGCACAUCAAUAACAACUCUUAAGUAGUUUCAUAAUUUGUUAGUUCAGACGUGGAAUAGGCACAAUUUAAUUGAGCAGUUAUGGGUGUUAAUUUUUUGGGUCAUUGUUGCUGUACAUUUCUUUCUGAUAAAGAUGAUAAUUACAACACUUCACUAUCAGGCUGGGAGCUGUUGUAGAGUGGUGUUAUGAAAAUAUUCUGUUUAGAUAACUGUUAGUAUCUGAUACAACUAACUCCUCGGCUCAACUCGUCAAGUCAAUCACAGGUUGAAAGGGCGGGAGAGAAUGGAAGGGAGGAUGAAGGUGCAGCUAUCCCUAGAGCCGGCGGGACAAGUUCCUCCACCGGUCAGCAUCCAGUUGUAGAUUUGGUAAUGGAGGAGUGUCUGGAGACAGGUUCAGAUGAGGGUUUAUAUUCUGAAGGUUUACAGAUCACUUUUAAGGGAUAAGUUAUUUAGCACAUCUUAGGGCUAGUUAUUAAUGUUAAUGUACAAUUUUCAGGUGUAGUACUUUUUAUAUGAUACAUUUAGUUGAAUUCAAUCGUCUUUACAAACACUUACAUUCAAUACACUAACACUCACCUCGUGAAGAUGGUGUGGACAUAAUGAUGCAUACUGAUGAUUUAAUAUUUUUAAUAACAACAGCUAGUUCAUCUGACACUUCAGCAGCAAGUGGUCCAGUAUACACCGUUGAUGGUAAGUACAAUGUUCAAGUGGUCCAGUAUACACCGUUGAUGGUAAGUACAGUGUUCAAGUGGUCCAGUAUACACCGUUGAUGGUAAGUACAGUGUUCAAGUGGUCCAGUAUACACCGUUGAUGGUAAGUACAGUGUUCAAGUGGUCCAGUAUACACCGUUGAUGGUAAGUACAAUGUUCAAGUGGUCCAGUAUACACCGUUGAUGGUAAGUACAGUGUUCAAGUGGUCCAGUAUACACCGUUGAUGGUAAGUACAGUGUUCAAGUGGUCCAGUAUACACCGUUGAUGGUAAGUACAGUGUUCAAGUGGUCCAGUAUACACCGUUGAUGGUAAGUACAAUGUUCAAGUGGUCCAGUAUACACCGUUGAUGGUAAGUACAAUGUUCAAGUGGUCCAGUAUACACCGUUGAUGGUAAGUACAAUGUUCAAGUGGUCCAGUAUACACCGUUGAUGGUAAGUACAGUGUUCAGAAGAACGUAUUAUUUAGUAUACUGUAUCAACUGUCUCUGAUGGUUAAAGUUUACACAAACAUUUAUUUACUUGUCACACCUCAUUGGACUGCUAAUUCUUGCACGUUUUGGACAUUGCAGGUGAUUUAGUGAAUCAUUUAAUUUGCAGUAUAGACACUGUUUUGGGUAUGCGUCUAUUACUGCAUUUCUCUGAGAUAACAUUAUAUUGCUGUUAUGCUUGGGUUACAGAACCAGAUCCGGUCAAGGCAGCUCAGCUGUUCACAUACUGGACACUUCAGUCCAACAAGGACAAAGACCACCUGACCUUGAGGGAUUCCUUAGUGGAAAGGAACAGGGCCAUAAUCCUUUUCUCAACUAUGGCAUCCAAUGGCUAGGUUUGCUGAGCUUGUCUAACUCUACAUUGACUGAUUUCAAAUAUGUUUACAAGGUGACUCUGCCAUUGGAGAGGGGGUCACCAGGUAUGUCCUGUCCACUGUCAUGGAAAAUCUUCAAAAUGGAUUCCUACUUGAUGAAGAGAAAGGUAUUUUUAGUAUAUUGAUUUAUAGACUUGUAGAUGAUGUGAAACCGUUUUUCCCCAGGUCAUUCAAAAGGACAUCUGUUUAUUUAUGAAGAACUUGCUCUUUGAGGGUGAGCAGGACCAUCUUGUUCCUUCCACAUCUCAGGCACUUUUGGAAAGUCUUUUUUUUGUAGUAGUAGUAGCUGGGUGCAUGAUUGGGCACUUUUAACAUUUUAUUAUUAUUUAUUUCUUUAAGUGGUGGCCCACACCUUGCAGGACUAAGCCCUACUAUCAAACAUGUACUGUUUGGCAGAGAACCAGAGACGGCACCGAUAACCUUAUCUGACUGCGUGGACCAUGUCCGGGAUGUCAUCCAGUUGGUUCGGAGAAACAUUUUUAUCUUUUGUAUAUAUAUUUUUGUAGGUUCAUCAGAGGUCCUGAAGAGUGCUUUUUUUCUUCUUCUGAAGCUGUCAAAAUACUAUGACUUAUGAGGAUUUUGAAAAAGAUCUGAUGGCAAGCAUCUCCUCAUCCUACUCUGGGUUUUGUCUGUUUUGAUUCAAAGCCCUGCAGGAAGACACAAUGUUCACAUCAGCUCAAAAGUUUUAUAGAGCUUUUUAUUGUUAUUUGAUAUACUUGACACUAGGUAUAGAGUUUAGUAAACAGUGAUACAGACACUUUGAUAAAGUGGCUUACAUUUUACAUCCUACAUUCUAACAGUAAUGGUUAACCCCAACAAAUUUAAGCUGUACAAUUUGAAAGAUUAGAGAGAGCUAGGUUAAAGGUAGUGCUCAGUACCUCGUCAAUUCUAGAUCCUAUUGGAGGAGGAACCUGAAGCCGAGGGGCCAGUUCAAAGGCCUACCCUCCAUAUAUACUCCCAUUAUCCCUAUUUAAAAGUCCUGUCUUAAAAGGUUUCCUCAAGGAAGUGCCUAGGCAGUCAAGUAGCAGAAGAGAAAUGUGCCUUUUAGAAGCUCAGAGUAGUUGGCUAAUCCAAAUUGAUGGCCACAGAGGAAAAUAAUUGCUGGUUGUAAAUAAAAAAAAUUAAAGGAAUUUCUAGGAAAUGGUGAUAUUAAUGCACUGCCUCAUUUCUAUACUGGAUAAAGGAAUUAAGGACAUAAGGACAAAUAUUGAGUUGGUAUGUGUUGUGGGUCCCUCUCAAAGAAACCCAUGUUAAUUGUGACUAACUCCUCUUUAUAGAUGGCAAACAAUUUACUUUUGAAGCCAGGUGGGGUUUUCCAACUGUGGGAAACAUACUGUAUUAGGGAAUAUUGUGUGGUAUAUCAGAAUUCCCAUGCACUUGUUCUAUGCCUGGCUGCACUACAAGGUGAACUGUAAGGCAAGUUACCCUCAAACUGUACAAGAGACUGAAUUAAACUGAUGCUUCAUCUGA
This is a long non-coding RNA of Salvelinus fontinalis (brook trout), 6140 nucleotides long. RefSeq lists it as uncharacterized. The transcript is spliced from 2 exons. NCBI's taxonomy places the organism in Eukaryota, Metazoa, Chordata, Actinopteri, Salmoniformes, Salmonidae. The record is from RefSeq and is a predicted model, not a curated record.